GGAAAACUUGUCUUUCUGAUGGCAGUCCCUGUUUCGCCGCAGUUAAGAGGAAGCUCUUCUGUCUGAGGCUGGAGGGCGAGAUUUGGCAUGUCUGGGGCUGGGAGUUCAAAGCUUUCUGAAGUUGAUCAGAUCUCAAAUUCUUCAUCUGUAAAACAGAGAGUGUAUAUGAGACAGAGACCUAGCCUUGGAGACAAGCAGACCUGGGUUCAGGUGUCAUAUGCUGGUUGUGGAACCCUAGGCAAGUCAUACGAUCUCUUAAUGGCCCUGGAAACUCUCUAAGACUAUCAGGAAUACGUGGGAGACAAUGUGUAUGUAUUGGUAGAAAGAGUUCCUCACCCAGACUUUCUGAUAUGAAUGAAAUAAAAACACAAAAUAAAACAUAAUAUUGUUUAUA
This is a long non-coding RNA of Gracilinanus agilis (Agile Gracile Mouse Opossum), 394 nucleotides long. RefSeq lists it as uncharacterized. The record is from RefSeq and is a predicted model, not a curated record. The transcript has 3 exons. NCBI's taxonomy places the organism in Eukaryota, Metazoa, Chordata, Mammalia, Didelphimorphia, Didelphidae.